UGGGGAAUUUUCCGCAAUGGGGGCAACCCUGACGGAGCAACGCCGCGUGAGGGAGGAAGGUCUGUGGAUUGUAAACCUCUUUUCUCUGGGAAGAAGAACUGACGGUACCAGAGGAAUAAGCAUCGGCUAACUCCGUGCCAGCAGCCGCGGUAAGACGGAGGAUGCAAGCGUUAUCCGGAAUUAUUGGGCGUAAAGCGUCCGUAGGCGGCUUCGUAAGUCAACUGUUAAAGACUGGGGCUUAACCCUGGGAGAGCAGUUGAAACUGUGAGGCUAGAGAGCGGUAGGGGUAGAGGGAAUUCCUAGUGUAGCGGUGAAAUGCGUAGAUAUUAGGAAGAACACCAGUGGCGAAGGCGCUCUACUGGGCCGUGACUGACGCUGAUGGACGAAAGCUAGGGGAGCGAAAGGGAUUAGAUACCCCCGUAGUCC
Molecule: ribosomal RNA, 426 nt
Filed under: uncultured prokaryote
Description: bacterial SSU rRNA
Rfam family: Bacterial small subunit ribosomal RNA
Source: RNAcentral